CAGCCGCCGCGGUAAUACGAAGGGCGCAAGCGUUACUCGGAAUUACUGGGCGUAAAGCGUGCGUAGGUGGUGGUUUAAGUCCGUUGUGAAAGCCCUGGGCUCAACCUGGGAAUUGCAGUGGAUACUGGGUCACUAGAGUGUGGUAGAGGAUAGUGGAAUUUCCGGUGUAGCAGUGAAAUGCGUAGAGAUCGGAAGGAACAUCUGUGGCGAAGGCGACUAUCUGGGCCAACACUGACACUGAGGCACGAAAGCGUGGGGAGCAAACAGGAUUAGAUACCCCCGUAGUCCCUGUCUCUUAUAC
Molecule: ribosomal RNA, 301 nt
Filed under: uncultured bacterium
Lineage: Bacteria
Description: partial 16S ribosomal RNA
Rfam family: Bacterial small subunit ribosomal RNA
Source: RNAcentral